CCCUUAGAUGUUCUGGGCCGCACGCGCGCUACACUGAUGCAUUCAACGAGUCUAAAACCUGCUCUGAUAGGGGUGGGUAAUCUUUUGAAUGUGCAUCGUGAUUGGGAUAGAUGAUUGCAAUUUUUCAUCUUCAACGAGGAAUGCCUAGUAAACGCAAGUCAUCAGCUUGCAUUGAUUACGUCCCUGCCCUUUGUACACACCGCCCGUCGCUCCUACCGAUUGAAUGAUCCGAUGAAUAUCAUGGAUUGAGGAUGCAAGCAGGUUCGCCCGUCUUCAUCUUCGAGAAGUGAAGUAAAUCUUACCAUUUAGAGGAAGGAGAAGUCGUAACA
This 329-nucleotide ribosomal RNA is filed under the name uncultured eukaryote. Its description in RNAcentral is "partial 18S ribosomal RNA". It matches the Rfam family "Eukaryotic small subunit ribosomal RNA", at positions 1470 to 1796 of the family's 1831-position model. The record is from RNAcentral.